AUCCAUCUGACGAGUCCCAAAUAGGUCGAAAUUCAGGUCUAUGGAU
Molecule: non-coding RNA, 46 nt
Organism: Schistosoma haematobium
Lineage: Eukaryota; Metazoa; Platyhelminthes; Trematoda; Strigeidida; Schistosomatidae
Source: Rfam